Drosophila novamexicana is the source of this 1218-nucleotide long non-coding RNA. RefSeq lists it as uncharacterized. NCBI's taxonomy places the organism in Eukaryota, Metazoa, Arthropoda, Insecta, Diptera, Drosophilidae. The transcript is spliced from 3 exons. The record is from RefSeq and is a predicted model, not a curated record.
ACGCAGAAGGAAUUCAUCAGUCUACCCCGAUAUCUUCGCCCAUUUUUAUAAUUUCGAUAAUUAUCGAUAUUUCAACUUGGUUAUUUAAGCAUAACUCGAGGGUUACAGGAGCUAGAUACAACAAACUUGAUCGCCCCGUUCCAGCUCAAAUUGGAAAAGGGCACUCGUUUGUAAAGGUUGAGCCUUGCCCUUGGGUAUAUACACACUUUUGUUUGCCAUAUUUGGGCCCUGAAAAUGUUGAAAAGAUCACACUAUAAGCAAAAAAGUUAACCAAGAGUGCAAAUCUCAUAGUGUGCGGCUAAGGGUAGAAGAAGCAUAACUGCAGCAUACGUAUGUUAGUAGGCAUGUGGAAUGGCGGCUUGGUCAGGAUAUCUCCUAGUCGGGCAAACCCGCCUACAGCACUCUUACUUGUUUUUCGGUGAUUCGUUUAGGUCGGUGUUUGAAGCGCCAGCAUUGUUGAUGGUCGCGACCAACUGCAGGAUGUUUAUCAUUGUCACUUGAAUCUCAAGUUGUCUAAUUCCCGUUGCAUCAGCAACGUUCACUGUUCGCGGGGGUGUGUAAGACACACACACGCACACACAGGCACACACAUACACAUACUCGUAGACAUAUGUAUGCCCUGAUUCCGCCUUAUAAACAUGCUCGCAUCAUUGUCAAGCCGCGCUCGCUCCCUGCCUCUCUCUCCCACUCUCUAUCUCUCGCUCGCUCUCUUUCUCUUUCCCACUCUCUCUUUCUCUCCCACUGUCUGUUCGUUUUACUUAAAACAAAUUCCCAGCUCGCGCUCUGUUUUAUUUAUGGCAUCUUCUAUCUUGAGCUAGGGACAGGCGCACAAUUUGGAUCUCUAUUGGCUCGCUAGUGGCCCCGUUAUGUUAGGGCAUCCAAGAAGAAGAAGAAACAGCAGACCGAAGAUUAAAUACUCUUUUAAAUAUGCGCUUGGGCAAUGCUUUCAUACUGAUUGUUACUAUAGAAGUGAUAUAAUAUAGUAUUCGAAGCAUAGCCCGUCAGAUUUGAGUAUCUUUAGAAAAAGAUGUUUGAUGACUCUAGCUCUUAAAACCUAAAAGAUGUGCUCAAAGAACAGAAUUUCAAGCUAGCAUUUAUCGGAAAGAAAUUCGUACUGCUACAGAUAUACGGACGAACGGAAAAUGGACAUGGCUAGCUCGACUCGGCUAUUAAUGCUGAUCAAGAAAAUAUAUACUCUGUGGGGUUUGGAGAUGCUUC